AUUGAACGCUGGCGGCAGGCCUAACACAUGCAAGUCGAACGAGUGGCGGACGGGUGAGCUAUGUCUGGGAAAGUUCGUGAUGGAUGACGAUAACUACUGGAAACGGUAGCUAAUACCGCAUAACAUCAGCUGUGCCGAGAUGGGAUUAGCUUGUGGGUGGGGUAACGGCUCACCAAGGCGACGAUCCCUAGCUGGUCUGAGAGGAUGACCAGCCACACUGGAACUGAGACACGGUCCAGACUCCUACGGGAGGCAGCAGUGGGGAAUAUUGGACAAUGGGCGCAAGCCUGAUGCAGCCAUGCCGCGUGUAUGAAGAAGGUCUUCGGGUUGUAAAGUACUUUCAGCUGGGAGGCGUUACCCGCAGAAGAAGCACCGGCUAACUCCGUGCCAGCAGCCGCGGUAAUUC
RNAcentral lists this ribosomal RNA (406 nucleotides) under uncultured bacterium. RNAcentral's name for it is "partial 16S ribosomal RNA". It matches the Rfam family "Bacterial small subunit ribosomal RNA", at positions 30 to 526 of the family's 1533-position model. The record is from RNAcentral.